Molecule: ribosomal RNA, 2201 nt
Filed under: Escherichia coli
Lineage: Bacteria; Pseudomonadati; Pseudomonadota; Gammaproteobacteria; Enterobacterales; Enterobacteriaceae
Description: partial 23S ribosomal RNA
Rfam family: Bacterial large subunit ribosomal RNA
Source: RNAcentral
AUAAUGGGUCAGCGACUUAUAUUCUGUAGCAAGGUUAACCGAAUAGGGGAGCCGAAGGGAAACCGAGUCUUAACUGGGCGUUAAGUUGCAGGGUAUAGACCCGAAACCCGGUGAUCUAGCCAUGGGCAGGUUGAAGGUUGGGUAACACUAACUGGAGGACCGAACCGACUAAUGUUGAAAAAUUAGCGGAUGACUUGUGGCUGGGGGUGAAAGGCCAAUCAAACCGGGAGAUAGCUGGUUCUCCCCGAAAGCUAUUUAGGUAGCGCCUCGUGAAUUCAUCUCCGGGGGUAGAGCACUGUUUCGGCAAGGGGGUCAUCCCGACUUACCAACCCGAUGCAAACUGCGAAUACCGGAGAAUGUUAUCACGGGAGACACACGGCGGGUGCUAACGUCCGUCGUGAAGAGGGAAACAACCCAGACCGCCAGCUAAGGUCCCAAAGUCAUGGUUAAGUGGGAAACGAUGUGGGAAGGCCCAGACAGCCAGGAUGUUGGCUUAGAAGCAGCCAUCAUUUAAAGAAAGCGUAAUAGCUCACUGGUCGAGUCGGCCUGCGCGGAAGAUGUAACGGGGCUAAACCAUGCACCGAAGCUGCGGCAGCGACGCUGAUGCGUUGUUGGGUAGGGGAGCGUUCUGUAAGCCUGCGAAGGUGUGCUGUGAGGCAUGCUGGAGGUAUCAGAAGUGCGAAUGCUGACAUAAGUAACGAUAAAGCGGGUGAAAAGCCCGCUCGCCGGAAGACCAAGGGUUCCUGUCCAACGUUAAUCGGGGCAGGGUGAGUCGACCCCUAAGGCGAGGCCGAAAGGCGUAGUCGAUGGGAAACAGGUUAAUAUUCCUGUACUUGGUGUUACUGCGAAGGGGGGACGGAGAAGGCUAUGUUGGCCGGGCGACGGUUGUCCCGGUUUAAGCGUGUAGGCUGGUUUUCCAGGCAAAUCCGGAAAAUCAAGGCUGAGGCGUGAUGACGAGGCACUACGGUGCUGAAGCAACAAAUGCCCUGCUUCCAGGAAAAGCCUCUAAGCAUCAGGUAACAUCAAAUCGUACCCCAAACCGACACAGGUGGUCAGGUAGAGAAUACCAAGGCGCUUGAGAGAACUCGGGUGAAGGAACUAGGCAAAAUGGUGCCGUAACUUCGGGAGAAGGCACGCUGAUAUGUAGGUGAAGUCCCUCGCGGAUGGAGCUGAAAUCAGUCGAAGAUACCAGCUGGCUGCAACUGUUUAUUAAAAACACAGCACUGUGCAAACACGAAAGUGGACGUAUACGGUGUGACGCCUGCCCGGUGCCGGAAGGUUAAUUGAUGGGGUUAGCGCAAGCGAAGCUCUUGAUCGAAGCCCCGGUAAACGGCGGCCGUAACUAUAACGGUCCUAAGGUAGCGAAAUUCCUUGUCGGGUAAGUUCCGACCUGCACGAAUGGCGUAAUGAUGGCCAGGCUGUCUCCACCCGAGACUCAGUGAAAUUGAACUCGCUGUGAAGAUGCAGUGUACCCGCGGCAAGACGGAAAGACCCCGUGAACCUUUACUAUAGCUUGACACUGAACAUUGAGCCUUGAUGUGUAGGAUAGGUGGGAGGCUUUGAAGUGUGGACGCCAGUCUGCAUGGAGCCGACCUUGAAAUACCACCCUUUAAUGUUUGAUGUUCUAACGUUGACCCGUAAUCCGGGUUGCGGACAGUGUCUGGUGGGUAGUUUGACUGGGGCGGUCUCCUCCUAAAGAGUAACGGAGGAGCACGAAGGUUGGCUAAUCCUGGUCGGACAUCAGGAGGUUAGUGCAAUGGCAUAAGCCAGCUUGACUGCGAGCGUGACGGCGCGAGCAGGUGCGAAAGCAGGUCAUAGUGAUCCGGUGGUUCUGAAUGGAAGGGCCAUCGCUCAACGGAUAAAAGGUACUCCGGGGAUAACAGGCUGAUACCGCCCAAGAGUUCAUAUCGACGGCGGUGUUUGGCACCUCGAUGUCGGCUCAUCACAUCCUGGGGCUGAAGUAGGUCCCAAGGGUAUGGCUGUUCGCCAUUUAAAGUGGUACGCGAGCUGGGUUUAGAACGUCGUGAGACAGUUCGGUCCCUAUCUGCCGUGGGCGCUGGAGAACUGAGGGGGGCUGCUCCUAGUACGAGAGGACCGGAGUGGACGCAUCACUGGUGUUCGGGUUGUCAUGCCAAUGGCACUGCCCGGUAGCUAAAUGCGGAAGAGAUAAGUGCUGAAAGCAUCUAAGCACGAAACUUGCC